AGCAGGCAUAAGGAAAGCCCAUAAAGCCCAGAGCUUUAAGACAGAUUCUAAUCACCAAAUGUCUUCUGCAAGAGCAGCAAUUUUCAGAGACCCAAACUGCUUAUUGGCCCUUUAUGAUGACCGAGUGAAAAUUAUACUUUGAGCCACAACCUCACUCUCCACCCAGAGAUAAUUAACCAGCUGUACCCGUGUGUUAUAGUUUAACUCACAGAGUUGCCAAACUGGCAGCUCCAGUCUAGACCACAUGUCUGAAAACUAACACAUGCAUGGUUAAGAAAAUAUAAUCAUCGCUUCUAUGUCAAUGUUCAUGUUACAGGCCUGAAUCACUUUAGCUUUUUUUUCUUUUAGAAAAAGAAACUUGGGUCUUGAUUCAUCACCAUCAUUAAGGCAUCCCAGUGCUACAAAGGAAUAAAUGGUUUAACGGAUUUGGUUUAUUUCAGUGAUCUACAACUAUAAGUUCCAUGUUUAAAAACGCACUUUACAAAAGGUACACCCUAACUAUGAGGGAAGGAUGGUAUAGAAGCAAAAAAACACAUUCAGUGGUUCCCAUACAAAAGCUAUUACCAACAGUAGAUGAAAUACUUAUAUUGCAAUAAUGCAAUAAAACACAAUAAUGGAUGAAAGACUACAAAGCCACUGUUCGACUCCGAACUGCUGCAGGCCAACAAUGUUGGCUUUCAGUGAACUCAUGGAGGAAGGAAGGGAGGGAAGACAAGCUCAUGUGGAACUUUGAAUUGGAAGGUGUUGAAGGUUUUUGUUUCAUGAAACAAAGUGAUACAGUAACUUUAAUAAACUAUCAACAAAGCCAUUCAACCACACCAGAGCCUGAAGCAUCAAAACGCAUGUGAAGUCCAUUUCCAGACUAUGUCAAAAGAGAUAUCUGAAUAUCUGGAUCUCACUAAGCUCUCAAACCUCAAAAACAAGAAGCCAGAGCCAGUCCUGGAUUUAUGCACAAUUUUCUUCCCUAUGGGACUCCAAACAGCACCUACUGCAGAAUGUACAAACAGAUUCCUUUCUUGGAAGUACAGAUAUUCAAACCACAGCUGUGAAUUUUAAGCACUAUGACUCCAGGCGACUUGAUCUGCAUGUUGAACCUGAGCCCGUUUUCACCCAAAGUCUGAAAACCAUGUCCGCUCUAGUCCAAACAACUCCAUUCGUACAGGCCGAAUGCCAUGAACAUCACAGACAUCAUGAAAACAACACACACUGACUGCAUGGGGGGAAAUCCUGCCUCCUGAUACACAACACAGAGUAGGAAGAAACAAACUGAAAAACUGAAAUCAAGCCAGACGUAAACAAUUAAAACAACAACAAUAAUAAUCACAAUUUCUUUCAAUAGUGUUACUGAGAAUGGAGGCAGGGGGAACAGAACAUUUUCCCACAAUAAAGCUAUUCAACCAAAAAAAAGGCUGAUGCUGGAAGACAAAAGGCCUUCCUGAUAACAAUGCAUUCCCUCUCCGUUCAAACACCAACUCUCUCUCGUCACCCUGAAAAGGCCAGGCUGAGCUGUCUACUAAAGCCACAUAUCUGCGCUGAUGAAUGCGCUUAGCACUCUCUUUUGAGUGCUUCAGAACCAUAUACAGUGUGUUUGCUUCUUGUAUGUACUGUAUUGUGUGUAUAGGCGAUUAUGGUGGGCUGUAAGGGCUGUAACACAUUAACAAACCAAAAAACCCAACAGCAAAUCAGAAAAUGCAACAACAAAGCCAGAAACACAACGGUGAAAUUGUAAACAUGAUAGCAACACCCAAAACACCGCAGCAUUAACUCUAAACAGAAAGUGUAGGUCCUACUGAACAUCACAUGCUUGUUGCUGACUGGCGAGCUGGAGAAUACUUAUAUUAGUAGGAAAUAUAGACAAAAUAAAUCUACUGCUUUUUUUAUUCAUACGUAUAAUUAUCAAGUGCGUUCAUACGAUGAUAUUUUAAACAUGCUGGCAACUUUGCACUGUAUUUAUGAGUAAGCUGAAAAUCCAUCUAAGGGAAGCUGGGUUAUUCGUAAAAAAUUAACUUUGCAUUAAAAUGUUGUCACGAGACUAACUAUACAAAAGACUGGAAAAGUGCAAUUCUUUUUUUCUUGUGAAAGGCAUGAUCUCCCCUUCCUGUUCUGCUCUUGUUUCUCUUCAGUUUUGUUGUUGUGUUAUCUGAUUUGUUGUUGCAUGUUUGCUUUGUUAAUGUGUUUUGUUUUGUUUUUUUACUUACGGACCACUAUAGCUUGAGGGAGGGUGAAAGUUUAAACGCUGCCUAAACGGAAAUCAUACUUAAUUUUAUUCAUAUUCAGAAAAUCCCCAGGUCUCCCCCAUACAUGGUCCAAUUCACUGCAACCAAAUACAAGCAGAAGAGGAAAGCAGCACUUCCAAAUAUUGGCAUAUUCUAAUCACAAUAUAACUUAGGGGUUUUAAAGUGCAAAGAACAAAUAGACAUUUGUGCCACUUGGAUGAUAAUGAUCGUGACUAAGUGAUCACAACAUGCACAUCCUGGUUUUUGCAUGAGAGUGUAGAAGCAAUAGGCAACCUCAGUGCGCACACCUAUAUGCUGAAAGCUAUACAUCCUACGCAGACAGGCCUUCUUGUUACAAAACACAGCAGGGAACAGAUAUUUUUGUUCCUGUUCCUAAAACGGACUAGGCCUAAGAGUUUGCAAAAGUAAGAGUAAGCAUGGUUUAUGUGGAGAUUUACCCCUGAGUCAUCUUCAUUUUUAUUUGGCUCAAGGGAAGCAUUAUUCUGAACAAGUUACGCUACAGUAAAUGAUGAAAAGGGCCUACAGAAGAGAGGCGAGGACACACUACAUCCACAUAAAAGCAGCAAUGACAUCAAGUGCUUAGUAAUAAAAUUUACAAUGAAGCCAAUUCAUGUAAAAGUCCGCCAUAUAUCUUACCCUGUUAAAGCAUAUUAAGCUAUAUAAACUGCACAUUGAAGCAUUUUCAACUGAGUAAUAUAAAGUACAAAGCGCACUUUUAGCUGAGGUAGUAUUGGUAAGGUUAUAUUUCAGGAAGGUGAAAACACUCAUCAGCUAUAGAUAUAGAUCCUAUAUUUCAAAUUCCAAAUAUAAAUAAAACAUUCAGUCCGAAAGAAAUGACACAACUAGGUAAAGUUUCUAUACUCACAGCAGGUUGGCAGGUGAUCUGUGCGGAACAGCUGUCUUGUGUGUGUGUGUUGCUAGCCAGCAGCCUGAAUGCAAGUUUUUCCAGGUGAUCCAGAACCAAUGACAUCAUCCCUAUCGACACACACACCUGUUUCCUCAGGAAGCUCCUCCCACCUUGACAACGUUAAAGAGACAGGCCCACGUGGCGAGUCAUUCCCUAUUGGCCUGAUGCAAAUUCUGAUACACCACAAUAAACACAGUUUGUGAAGCCAUCACGCUGGCUGUACAUGAAUAUAUUUACAAAAGCAUAAAGAACACUCAUAUACCAGUGUCUCCCAUUUAACAACA
This is a long non-coding RNA of Ictalurus punctatus (channel catfish), 3428 nucleotides long. The record is from Ensembl. Lineage: Eukaryota; Metazoa; Chordata; Actinopteri; Siluriformes; Ictaluridae.